UUCAUACAAAGUCAGAAAGGAUAGUAGCUAUGAUACUUCUGUAGUGUCAUUGAAGAGGGAUGGGGAGUGAACCAGCUCCUGAGCCAAUAUCAUCGGCCUCAUCCUCCAGGACAGAUCCGUCAGCCUGUUGAGAAAUCUCAUUGCAGCUGAGACUCUCACUACCCCAUGCUGUUUGCCUGAGUCCUGAAUCAAGCUGUUUGAACACGUCAGCCAGGACAAGAGCCCUUGGGAAAUCUUCAGAAAGAGUACAACAUCAGUGAUACACAGUAAUUGCAGAAAAUUAGGAAAAUGCAAACAAGUAAAUUGAAGAAACAAGAAUCAGCCUCAAAUAUACCACUUACAUGUCCCUCAGUCUUCCUGAGUAAUGCUACCAUUCCUGUGUUCAUCUGCCUCUUCAAACCCCACCUUCCACUCCAGG
Molecule: long non-coding RNA, 418 nt
Organism: Suricata suricatta (meerkat)
Lineage: Eukaryota; Metazoa; Chordata; Mammalia; Carnivora; Herpestidae
Exons: 5
Source: RefSeq, a predicted model, not a curated record